UACGGAGGGGGCUAGCGUUGUUCGGAAUUACUGGGCGUAAAGCGCACGUAGGCGGCUUUGUAAGUUAGAGGUGAAAGCCCGGGGCUCAACUCCGGAAUUGCCUUUAAGACUGCAUCGCUUGAACAUCGGAGAGGUGAGUGGAAUUCCGAGUGUAGAGGUGAAAUUCGUAGAUAUUCGGAAGAACACCAGUGGCGAAGGCGGCUCACUGGCCCAUAACUGACGCUGAGGCACGAAAGCGUGGGGAGCAAACAGG
Molecule: ribosomal RNA, 253 nt
Filed under: uncultured bacterium
Lineage: Bacteria
Description: partial 16S ribosomal RNA
Rfam family: Bacterial small subunit ribosomal RNA
Source: RNAcentral